GCACAAGCGGUGGAUGAUGUGGAUUAAUUCGAUGCAACGCGAAGAACCUUACCUACCCUUGACAUGUCCGGAACUUGCCAGAGAUGGCUUGGUGCCCGAAAGGGAACCGGAACACAGGUGCUGCAUGGCUGCCGUCAGCUCGUGUCGUGAGAUGUUGGGUUAAGUCCCGCAACGAGCGCAACCCUUGUCCUUAGUUGCUACGCAAGAGCACUCUAAGGAGACUGCCGGUGACAAACCGGAGGAAGGUGGGGAUGACGUCAAGUCCUCAUGGCCCUUAUAGGUGGGGCUACACACGUCAUACAAUGGCCGGUACAGAGGGUAGCCAACCCGCGAGGGGGAGCCAAUCCCACAAAGCCGGUCGUAGUCCGGAUCGCAGUCUGCAACUCGACUGCGUGAAGUCGGAAUCGCUAGUAAUCGCGGAUCAGCAUGUCGCGGUGAAUACGUUCCCGGGUCUU
This 455-nucleotide ribosomal RNA is filed under the name uncultured Ottowia sp. RNAcentral describes it as "bacterial SSU rRNA". It matches the Rfam family "Bacterial small subunit ribosomal RNA", at positions 923 to 1382 of the family's 1533-position model. The record is from RNAcentral. Lineage: Bacteria; Pseudomonadati; Pseudomonadota; Betaproteobacteria; Burkholderiales; Comamonadaceae.